AUACGGAGGGUGCGAGCGUUAAUCGGAAUUACUGGGCGUAAAGCGUACGUAGGCGGUUGGUUAAGUUAGAUGUGAAAGCCCCGGGCUUAACCUGGGGACUGCAUUUAAUACUGGCGAACUAGAGUUGAGUAGAGGGGAGUGGAAUUUCAGGUGUAGCGGUGAAAUGCGUAGAGAUCUGAAGGAACACCAGUGGCGAAGGCGACUCCCUGGACAUAUACUGACGCUGAGGUACGAAAGUGUGGGGAGCAAACGGGAUUAGAUACCCCAGUAGUCC
RNAcentral lists this ribosomal RNA (274 nucleotides) under uncultured bacterium. RNAcentral's name for it is "partial 16S ribosomal RNA". It matches the Rfam family "Bacterial small subunit ribosomal RNA", at positions 523 to 796 of the family's 1533-position model. The record is from RNAcentral.